RNAcentral lists this long non-coding RNA (5537 nucleotides) under Triticum aestivum (bread wheat). Its description in RNAcentral is "long non-coding RNA (TAES_LNC003185)". Lineage: Eukaryota; Viridiplantae; Streptophyta; Magnoliopsida; Poales; Poaceae. The record is from RNAcentral.
GCUAACACAAGGACUGAAAAUCAAACAAGUACAAAGUUAACUAGUACAGGGACUAGUAAACAAGGUGAACACACAAUUAUACUAGCAGAUUACUCAAUCAUAGAGCAAGAUUUCUAGGAUAAUUAAUUCUCACAGCCUUCAGAAAUACAAGUCAAGCAUUAUAUAUUACAACUACCAAACAUAACAAGCUACAGGUUGCCAACACUCUUAAAAUCUGAAUAUUACAAAGCAUUACACAUCUCAUAUUACAGAAAAUUCAGAGAAGAUUGAGAGGGAGAAAGAGAAAUAGAAGCAAGAGGUUGAGGGCAUCAGCAGCAUGGGGUAGCAAGAAGCAGUAAAGCGCAAUUGUAGCAACAGGUUCAGAGAAGGAGCAGCAAAAAGGUUCGGGCAAGAAGAGGAGCAGAGGAGGGACUUGGAGAGAAGCGAGGGGGGCGUCCAGGAGCUAGUGAGGAGCAACAGCAAGUGUUGAGAGGAGCAUCGGUUCAGCAUCAGAUCAGAGGAGCAGCAGGAGGAGGAGUUCAGGGAAGAAGACAUCAGCAAGAGGAGGGGAAGAAGAAAGAGGUUGAGAGGAGCAACGGGUGUGAGCAGCAGGCAGAGGGCACAGGAGAAGAAGAAGUGGAUCGCCGGUCAGGAGCGGCAGGGGGGUCGCACGGGGGUUCAGACUUCCUCGCCUCCCUGUCUGGUGAAGCACGCCAUCAAGAAGGGGCGGCCUCGCCCUGGGGAAGACACCCUCGCCAUCGUGUCUGAUGGUGGGCGCGAGGUGGUGCUGGUGGGUGGUGUGUGGCGCUGUGGAUGGUGGUGAUGGAGUGGUGUUGAUGGAUGGCGGCGGUGGCUGAUUGGAUGGAUGGAUGUGGUGCUGGAGAUGGAUGGAUGGAUGGCGGGCUGCUUGGCGCGCCGCCACGCUGGCCUGGCCGCGACGGCGGCCGGAGGUGGGAGAAGGAGACAGGGGGAAGGAGAGGUGUUGCCAGGCCCGAUGGGGAUCGGCUGUGCUAGGGAUUUUUGAUCCCCUCCUCUGUUCUGUCUUUUUUUACUUUGGCCCUCCUCCUUUCUUUUUUCUUCCCAAGAAGAUCCUCCUCUUCUUUUAGUUUGCUCCCCUACAUUACUUCUUUCCUUCACGGUCAAGCCUUGACGUAUUUCUUUCAUGCCCUUCUCUCUUGUCGUUAGCCACAUAGUAGAAGUCUUGACGAUUAUAGUACCUUUGCGCACUUUUCUGCAAAAUAAACAAUUCACUAGUCAACAUUCUCUUCUAUGAUUAUCAUUCAAAUAUUCAACAAGUCAUAGCAAGAAUGGAUGGAUAUAUCUCAAUAAAAGGUGAAUUUGUGUGCCCAAAUAGUAUAUAAGAAAUGUGCUUAUCAAGUUCCCCCACACUUAAAUCUUUGCUUGUCCUCAAGCAAAGGAAAAAAAAUGAUGGUGACACAACUCACACUGCCUAGUAAAGAUGCACUUUCCGAUAGAUAGUAAUUCCGACAAUACUGGAACUAAGCAAAUGUACUCUACUGAAGCUAAAUUGUGAUAAGAAAUAUUUUAUAACACACUGUAAAUGUUCCAAGUCAAUGGCCUUGAGUCAAAGUGAAUACUAAUAAUCAAGAGUUGGCUCUGUCUUCAGUCCUGAGAUAAGCUGGGACCCCAAAAUCAAUUAGAAAAACAAGUUACUUAUUGAAUUUAAAGCACAAGUGAUGAUAUUAUAUCAGUCUCACCAAAGGAACAUACCACCGAUCCCAAGAACAUGGUAUACACCUGGCUCGACCAAAUUAUUAGUAUAUUUUUUUUGUUAUUAUCUCCCCAAAGGAACAUAGCACCGAUCCCGGGAACAUGGUAUACACCUGGUUCGACAAAUUAUAGCAUUUUUCAUAUAAUUUUUUUUAUAGUCCAAUCUACCAGAUUUCACAAGCCACUGAUCCAGGGAACAUGACAUGCAACUAUAGGUCGAUCGGACUUAAAUUAUUAUAAUUAUUUUAUUUAGUUAUUUGAAAAUUACUUAGCUUAAGUAAAACAGGAAUAAUUGAAAGAGGAAUCCAUAGCUAAUGGCACUGUUUUUCACAUACUACAGAUCCAGAGAUCAUAGCUACUACUUAAGUGCCACCAGUUACUUAGCUUAACUUGGGACAGUCAGACACAGCACAUCAAUUCAUUAGUAGGUUUCACUUAGACUCAAGGCAUUCCCAUUGAACAUUUACAUGGAGGUAUAAAGUAUUCAUUAUCAGAAAUUAGCAUAAGAAGAAUACAGCUACAUAGUUUUAGUAUUAAGAGAAUCAACAAUCUUCUUGGAGUGAAUCCUACUUUGCAGUGAAGAUUAAGGUGUCACAAUGCAAAAAGAGUUUCAAUGCAAUAAAAUGCCAGUUCUCGUACUAAAUUUUCUAAAGGUUGAUUCAAGUGGAACAGAAUCACCUGGUAUUUGCAUACUCUUCUCUCCUACUUUCUUCUCUCCACUCUUCUAUGUUUGUGUUCCCUGUUUGUGCUCCCCUCAUCGCCAUGCUCCGACUCCACCAGGAUCCCAAGGAAUGUCACCUCGAACCUGGUCAGCAUGUACUAAACAGUGCAGUAGCAAAAGCCUGAAAUAGGACUCACACAAACAACUACAUGUGAUACGGUCGAUGCCCUCCAAGUCAUCAAUGGAAUAUCCAAUUAUAUAAGCAUAACUAUAAAGCACAUGUUUAGGAUGGCAGAAAUCAGCAUGGUCAAUACUCACACGAGGAUGACAUUUAUCAUUAAGCUCAAGACUAGCAUGAGGAAAGUAAUUGUGAUCAUCACAAAUGAGAGCAAUGGCACAAACAGGGUAUAUAUCAUCAUAUCCAAGCAAAUGAGUUUUCAAAUCAAUCUUAAGUGAUGGUAUCAUGUAAUGCAAGGUGAUAGGAAAGAAAUCACAAGGCAUCAUGUCAUCAAGAGGAUUGAGUAAACCUGACACAUCACGCUCUGGUAUGACAAUAGGCAAAUAAAUCUCAUGUUCUUCAUCUUCAUCUACAAUAGCUUCUUGUACUUCUUCAGGAGUAAUAGAUGAUGAGUCUUCAACUUGAUCACUUGGGAAUUGGAGCUCUUGACCAUCUUGUUCCUUGUCUUAUAGUUCAUCUUCUUCAAUCUGAGGUAUCUCUUGCUCAAGGCACUUGCUGACUUGCUCAACGAAAUGUGAAGGUGUUGGAACCUCACAUGUAUCCAUGGAUAUCUCAGCCACACUCAACUCAAGUUGUGAAGAAAUAGUGCUGCCAGCGUUGAUGUUCUUCUCAAUCUUCCUUACUUCUUCCACUAGCUCUUUUCCACUCUUGAUCUUCUUCAUUUCAUCUAGUAUAACCUUCCUAAUAGGAUCAUCCUCGGCACUCCAAGUGAACUCGAGACUAAGCAAUGUGAGCUUCUCUAUAUCAUCAAAUUCAUCUUGUGUGGGCACUUGCACAUGAGAUUGCUCGAAAGGUGCUGGAGUUGUUGGUUGACCAAAUGGAGGACCAUUUAACUCCAUUGGACACAUCUCCUGGUAUUGAGGUAUAUGAGUAGGAGGUGAAUAAAUCUGUUGUGGAGCAUAGUUGUGGUUCUCCUCAUUGUACCUGAAUCCCUGCAUUGGAUAACUAGAGGCAAACAAUGAGAUGUCAGGGUUAUUGCUCCUAUAUGACAUAUUCUGGUUUUCAGGCCACCCAUGUGUGUAAUUGUUUUGGUAUGAGCUAGGCGGUGGGGCGAAGCUCAUGCCAUAACAAUCAGGAGGGUGAGAGUAACCACGCUGACAUUCAGCGGGUGAAUGGCCCUGAAAUCCACAAAUAUGGCAUGUAGGAGCAACAUAAGGAUGACCUCUAGAAUAAGGAUCAUAAGAGCUAGGCCUAUCCUCAAAAACUCCUUCUCGCUGCCGAGCUAAAUCAUCUAAUCGAUGGGAAAUCUUACCUAUCAGUUCUUGAACACUUUCCGUGCUGUUUGUAGUGUUGCUCGCAUAAGCCUGAUGAUCUGAAUAGUAAGCCAUAACCGAGAGGAUAAUCCAACCUGCAAAAAGGAAAAGAAGACAAAAAGAUACUAACUAGAACCAGGGUUAGUGGCUAGAGAUAUAUCACAAAUAUAUAAAGCACAAAAAGGAAACAAGCUAAACCUAGUCUAAAGCCUCACACAAACGCUCGACGCUAGUCCCCGGCAACGGCGCCAAAAUGAUCAAUUGAAAGUACAGCGGGGGUUUUACGCCCAAACUGCGAGUGUCGUGUUCUCCACAGGGACUAGACGACGGCAACUAUGCUCGGCUAAAGCUAGGUGAAAGAAUACAAGUGAUGAUUGCGAGGAAUUAUAAACUAACACUAACAAGGAUAGCAGUAAUGGAAAUGACACAGUAGCAAAGGGAGAUGAAGAUUAUCUUUACUCUGUCUUUCUGAUAUUUUUGUUAUGCUUGAGAAAGAAAAUGCUAAAACAAGCAAACAUCAAACAAAGGAAUUAAAAAGACAUGAACAUAUAUAUAUAUAUAUAUAACAAUUAACAGGGGGAAGAAACAAGGUUUUAGGACAGAACAUGAACAUAUCACAUCACAGGCACACACAUAUGUAUAUAUAUAUAUAUAUAUAUAUCGCACGUGCUGGAGCUAACACAAGGACUGAAAAUCAAACAAGUACAAAGUUAACUAGUACAGGGACUAGUAAACAAGGUGAACACACAAUUAUACUAGCAGAUUACUCAAUCAUAGAGCAAGAUUUCUAGGACAAUUAAUUCUCACAGCCUUCAGAAAUACAAGUCAAGCAUUAUAUAUUACAACUACCAAACAUAACAAGCUACAGGUUGCCAACGCUCUUAAAAUCUGAAUAUUACAAAGCAUUACACAUCUCCUAUUACAGAAAAUCCAGAGAAGAUUGAGAGGGAGAAAGAGAAAUAGCAGCAAGAGGUUGAGGGCAUCAGCAGCAUGGGGUAGCAAGAAGCAGUAAAGCGCAAUUGCAGCAACAGGUUCAGAGAAGGAGCGGAAAAAAGGUUCGGGCAAGAAGGGGAGCAGAGGAGGGACUUGGAGAAGAGAAGAAGCGAGGGGGGCGGCCUGGAGCUAGUGAGGAGCAGCAGCAAGUGUUGAGAGGAGCAUCGGUUCAGCAUCAGAUCAGAGGAGCAGCAGCAGGAGGAGUUCAGGGAAGAAGACAGCAGCAAGAGGAGGGGAAGAAGAAAGAAGUUGAGAGGAGCAACGGGUGUGAGCAGCAGGCAGAGGGCGCAGGAGAAGAAGAAGUGGAUCGCCGGUCAGGAGCAGCAGGGGGGUCGCGCGGGGGUUUAGACUUCCUCGCCUCCCUGUCUGGUGAAGCACGCCAUCAAGAAAGGGCGGCCUCACCCUGGGGAAGACACCCUCGCCAUCGUGUCUGAUGGUGGGCGCGAGGUGGUACUGGUGGGUGGUGUGUGGCGUUGUGGAUGGUGGUGAUGGAUGACGGUGGUGGCUAAUUGGAUCGAUGGAUGUGGUGCUGGAGAUGGAUGGAUGGAUGGCGGGCUGCUUGGCGCGCCGCCACACUGGCCUGGCCGCGACGGCGGCCGGAGGUGGGACAAGGAGACAGGGGGAAGGAGAGGUGUUGCCAGGCCCGAUGGGGAUCGGCUGCGCUAGGGAUUUUUGAUCCCCU